CCUACGGGUGGCUGCAGUGGGGAAUAUUGGACAAUGGGCGAAAGCCUGAUCCAGCCAUGCCGCGUGUGUGAAGAAGGCCUUCGGGUUGUAAAGCACUUUCAGUGGGGAAGAAAGCCUUGGGGCUAAUACCCUCGAGGAAGGACAUCGCCCACAGAAGAAGCACCGGCUAACUCCGUGCCAGCAGCCGCGGUAAUACGGAGGGUGCGAGCGUUAAUCGGAAUUACUGGGCGUAAAGCGCGCGUAGGCGGUCUGAUAAGCCGGUUGUGAAAGCCCCGGGCUCAACCUGGGAACGGCAUCCGGAACUGUCAGGCUAGAGUGCAGGAGAGGAAGGUAGAAUUCCCGGUGUAGCGGUGAAAUGCGUAGAGAUCGGGAGGAAUACCAGUGGCGAAGGCGGCCUUCUGGACUGACACUGACGCUGAGGUGCGAAAGCGUGGGUAGCAAACAGGAUUAGAUACCCGUGUAGUC
RNAcentral lists this ribosomal RNA (465 nucleotides) under Vreelandella stevensii. RNAcentral's name for it is "partial 16S ribosomal RNA". It matches the Rfam family "Bacterial small subunit ribosomal RNA", at positions 338 to 795 of the family's 1533-position model. The record is from RNAcentral. Lineage: Bacteria; Pseudomonadati; Pseudomonadota; Gammaproteobacteria; Oceanospirillales; Halomonadaceae.